RNAcentral lists this long non-coding RNA (2270 nucleotides) under Orbicella faveolata. RNAcentral's name for it is "uncharacterized LOC110054334". The record is from RNAcentral. Lineage: Eukaryota; Metazoa; Cnidaria; Anthozoa; Scleractinia; Merulinidae.
GUUCAAUCAGUCGCGCAGAAGAUCGGAAGACGUUUGCUUUGCUGAAGGCCAUUUUAAAUGCUACAAAUAUUAGCAACGGCAGCUGAUGCAGCAGGCUAUGAAUUCAAUUCGGCACGGUAUAAGAGCACGCCGAAGCCAAGUCGCGCUACACGGCAUGCAAACUUUAUUCAUUCCCCCCCGGGGUGGGGGUGGGGAGACUCGUAUAAAAAUAACGGGGGUGCUCGUCGUACAUCUGAGGGGUUAAUCUUCAAAAGGCUAAGUAAUUGAAGACACCAACAACGACAAAAAAACACUGUUAGAAAUAUAUCGAGUAGACCGUUCUAUAAAGAGACUUUUCAAUUUUCGUCAAUUAUGCAAAUAAGUUCACCUAGCCUAAAAAACGUUUGUGUUUGCUGGCGCGCGUUCUUACUGCCCAGAUUUUUUGUUCCAAAUACUGAUUAUAUAUAUUGGUUAAACUAAAACGCCUUUUAAGCCCGUAAAAUUACGCAAUUUUUUCUGUUUCCAUAGGGGCUUGAAUUCUUCGACAGUCCACGGAACCUCUCAAAAUUUAAUUUAAUAUAAGGCUUUUAAUAUGCUUAGUUUAUCCGGUGUUCUAGUCUUGUAAAUUGUUUCAAUGCGAAUACCGAGAACUUCGACUCAAGCGCGGCAGUAGCACGACGUUUGAAACCAUGCAUGCACUCAGUUCGGCAGGCUGAAUUAAAUUCGGCGCGACUACGUAUAGCACGGCAGGCCUAAUGCCGUUCCGUUCAGCGCGACUUGGCUUCAAACGGCAUGCUUUUGUUAUGCACGUGCCGAACUGAACCAGAGGGGCGGUGAAUAGUAAAUGCCAGACUGCACGAGACGGCGAGACCAGCGCUAUUCUUUGCGAGCUCGAGGCAUAUUGACUUUUUAGAUUGCGAAACCGAAAGCGAGCGAGAGGGGCUCAGACUCUUAAAAUUCAAGCUCCAGAUUUAGUUGAGAGCUAUAAGAAUGAGCGAAAAUGAGCUUGUACAGAAGUCUUACAAAGGUACCUUUUGUCGUAAAUACUUGUGCCUUUACACAGUUCCACAGGGAACAACAGAUAAGUUCUUCGACUUCGUGGGUUUCAUCAUGAGCUAUCGUGGAAUGUGUGUGGCUUUUUGAUGAGAACGGAGGAAGUGGGUAAAAAGGAUCACACCUUGAUUGGCAAACUUUUGGCCGCGUGAGUGGCCGUUUAUUAAAUCAAUAAAGUGUACAGCAUUUAUUUGCCAAUCAGUCAUCCCUAAGGAAGAGCUAACCCUUUAAACGACCUCGUUCCCAGCAAAGGCGAGGGUGAAAACCGCUGGCGAGGCCCAGAAUAAGACUGACUAUGUACCGGAGGAGACGGGGUGGAGGAGGGGAUGAAAUUCUAGCACGAUGCUUUCUUCAAUCGACGUAAAGGGAGAGAAAGCGCAUCGAGGCAUGUGACGUCAAAACCGUGCGUAGUCCCGGAAGCCCCUUAGGCGGAAGUGAGAACGGAGUCAAAACAAGCACCAUAAAAACCAUUUAUUUUACCGGGUAAAAUAAAUCUCCAUUUAGCCUUUUAGCCAGCCUUUGCGAACAAGCUGGAACUAGAAAUUCGACUAUAGCACACUACGUUAGGAUAUCCUAGAACAAAAUAACUGUUUUUUAAAAUGACGUUGCGGUAAGUUUUGCAGCCUUUUGUGGAAUUCAGACAAUUUGGCAGAAGUUAGCAUUAACAUUUUCUCGGAAAUUUGAAAGUAGCUUUAUUGAAAUUCAAUAUCAAGUGACGAGAAGAGGUCACUUAUUAAAACAAACAAACGAAUCGGAGCUUCGAAACUCUUAACCUUGCAAUUGCAAAAAGUCGAAACUCCGAGAGAGCUUCGUGUAAAAAUUGGGACUGCGAGACGCACAUAAAUGCUAAAAAACGAGACCGCGAGACCCGUGAAAUUCGACUAAAAUUGUGCGAGACCCAGAGUUUUUAAAGGACCAUUCGCCACCCCUAACCAGGGACGGCGGAGCUGGGGUAGGGGCUCAAGCCCCGCACCCUUCCCUCCACUUUUUACCACGAUGACAGUUUAUUUUGUUUUAGAAUGAGGUACAAAUGAAGAACUAAAGAAGAACAAAGAAAACGAAAACCUCGUACCAAAUCUGUAGGAAGGUUUUUCAUGUUUACAUAGUUUUAACCUUUCCGCAGCGUGCACUUCCUUCCCACACAUGGGGUGGCUUGUGUAAAAGCGCAGGUCAGUCAGUGCUAAGGCCGUGAUAUAUCAUGGAGGGCUGAGAAAGAUGUAUCAAGCUCACAAUACCUU